RNAcentral lists this ribosomal RNA (492 nucleotides) under uncultured bacterium. RNAcentral describes it as "partial 16S ribosomal RNA". It matches the Rfam family "Bacterial small subunit ribosomal RNA", at positions 29 to 507 of the family's 1533-position model. The record is from RNAcentral.
AGUGAACGCUGGCGGUAGGCCUAACACAUGCAAGUCGAACGGCAGCACAGUAAGAGCUUGCUCUUACGGGUGGCGAGUGGCGGACGGGUGAGGAAUACAUCGGAAUCUACUUUUUCGUGGGGGAUAACGUAGGGAAACUUACGCUAAUACCGCAUACGACCUACGGGUGAAAGCAUGGGAUCUUCUGACCUUGCGCGAUUGAAUGAGCCGAUGUCGGAUUAGCUAGUUGGCGGGUUAAAGGCCCACCAAGGCGACGAUCCGUAGCUGGUCUGAGAGGAUGAUCAGACACACUGGAACUGAGACAAGGUCCAGACUCCUACGGGAGGCAGCAGUGGGGAAUAUUGGACAAUGGGCGCAAGCAUGAUACAGCCAUACCGCGUGGGUGAAGAAGGCCUUCGGGUUGUAAAGCCCUUUUGUUGGGAAAGAAAAGCAGCAGGUUAAUACCCCGCUGUUCUGACGGUACCCAAAGAAUAAGCACCGGCUAACUUCGUG